This 214-nucleotide unclassified non-coding RNA is filed under the name uncultured Rickettsia sp. RNAcentral's name for it is "sequence contains ITS2". Lineage: Bacteria; Pseudomonadati; Pseudomonadota; Alphaproteobacteria; Rickettsiales; Rickettsiaceae. The record is from RNAcentral.
AUUACAUAUGCAUAUAGUGUUAAUUCUAUAAAAAUGUAGUAUCAACUCACAAAGUUAUCAGGUUAAAUUAGCUUUAUCAAUGAAUAAAAAUGUUGUUGCACAGCUAAUAAUAUCAUACCGUGGUCCCGCGCCACGGUAUCUAGAAAAAUUUUUAAUAUUUAGAUUCUUGCUUCCGCAGGAAUGACAAAUUUAGUCAUGUAACAACAUUAACAGC